GGGCUAGCCUCGGGGACCUCAGCUCCGCCGCUCGCCGCCGCCGCCCCUCGGCCCGGUCUCCGCGCAGGUGAGCCCUGGCCGCCCGCUGCAACAGGUGGCCCGCAGCGCCCCGCGCCCCGACGGCGGCCUGACCCCGACUGCCCGCGCCCCUCCCUCCCCCGGAUGUCCCAAUGCCCAAAACUCCAUGCCCACAGCUUUAUCGCGUUUGUCUGGGCCACGCCUGAGGUGGGGGUAUUCCUAUCAGGGGCGCCCUUUCUGAGCCGUUAGCCGGGCUGUAGCCAGCCGGGCCUUUCCUGCAUUUCGCAAGCUGGGUUACAUAAUGGACCUCAACUGCAGCGAGGAGGGGCCUCUUGGCUGAACGCCCCUCCUCAUCAAAGCUGGGGAGAGGGAAAGUUAGAAGGUUGAAGGACUCCUGGUGCGGCCCAGUUUCCAUUUGUAGGAGGGGAGGGGGAUUGGGGGGGUUGAAUUUCCCUAUAAAUAAAACGCUGGCUUGGUGAAGACCACCCCACCCUUUCCCUGUGGCCUCUAAGAGUUGACAAUAAUAAACCCUGGGGAAGGAUAAUUGGCUGGUGACCCCAAAUUUCAGGCUUCUCUUCUCCUGCUCCUCAGAGGGCAAGAGAUUUGUGAGGCUUGAAGUUAUCAGUGGGGUUAUUCGCUGUUCCCCACCCACCCCAUCCCCACCUGGAAGAGCUGGCCACGGGCCUCCUGUCUGGAUGAAAGUAGGCCCAGUGGGCAGGUAACUCCCUAAACCCAUGCCUGUUUUUCUCUGAAAUUCUCUGGAAGGAUCCAGAUUUUCUCCUUGCCUAUUCUUGCCUCCAAGUCCAGGAUGCACAGAGCUACCAGAUAUCAACUGGUUGUCAUCUUCCACUCUUGCUGCAGCUAAGAGCCAGCCCAGCCUUAACUGGCAUCGUCUCUCAGACAGCCCCGGUCCUAACACAUUGUUAGGUGGGCCCUUGUCAGCAUUUUGAUGAGCAGUGUUGAUCUCGGAGGGUUGACCUUCCUGCCCCUCUCUCAGCUGGGAGGAGCAGGCUCAGAAGAGUAGAGCAGUAAGAAUGCAGUCUUGACUGUGUUUACUUUGGGGGAUUCCAGGAAAUGCUGCAACAAAAGGUCCUGCAGGCCAAAAAAGAAAGCUUACCCUCCAGAGAUAAGGGGAUCAAAGGGAACCUUCCCAGGCCUGUUGCCCCAAGGACCAGCUCCCCCGCCUUCUCCCUCCUUCUCUGCUGGACGCGCCCUCUCUGGUCCAUUGUGCACUUUUGUCUGCUUUUCCUGCCUGAAAAGGAGGAAGUGAGCCCGGACCCAGCCAGCACUCUGCCCUCCGCAGCUGCCUUUCAGCUCAGCUUUCCUAGAAGGGCUUUGACAGAUGGAAGAGGACUUGUGGAAACAGGCCCAAGCUGACUCAAAGAUGAGAUUGGAGAACGGCUCUCCCUUCCCCCACCAGAAGGGGGUUACUGAAGGUCAUCUCAUCCAUCCCCCUGCCUCCAUACACAGCUGGGUCAUCUGAGCAUAGGCUGUUCUGCAGACACUACCAAUGUCACCAAAGUGGGCUGGCAUCUUUCCCCCUUUCCACACCCUCUCACUACUGUUGCCUCCUCCACAUAGCCCCAGGGCAACCAUUUUAAAAGCCCAAUUAGAUCCUACCUAAAAUCUUUCAAUGGCUCCUAAUCAAGUAAUAAUUAAUACAGUCCAGAAUCUUUAGUAUGUCCCUGAAGAUCUCUUAUAAUCCCAUCAAUUCUUACCUCUUCAGCCACCUGUCCCAGCUCUCCCGUCCUCUGGCUUCACAGAAGCUGUUAGUUUCAGCUGGAAAUGCUUCCCCACCUACUGCUGUCUCUGCUUGGUGAACACAUCAAGAAGGCCAGUUGAUGGUGUGGGGAAGGAUCAUGUGCAGAAAUCACAAAAAUUAAGAUCAGGAUAGCUCUGUUGGAGGGGGGCUUUAGUGUUGGAACUGUAAACUGAUAACAAUAGGGAGCUAUUGAAAGUUCUUGAGCAAAGUAGUUGUCUUAGUCUACUAGGACUGCUGUAACAAAAUGCCAUAAACUGGGUGCUUAUAAACAAUAGAAAUUUAUUUUUCACAGUUCUGGAGGCUGGGAAGCUGAAGAUCAUGGCACCCACGAUUUGGUGUGUGGUGAGGGCCCAUUUUCUGGUUCCCAGACAACGGCCUUCUUCCUGUGUCCUCAAAUGGUAGGAGGGACAAGCUAGCUCCUGUGGGCCUCAUUUGUAACAGCACUAAUCCCAUUCCUGAGGGCUCCACGCCAAUGAUCUAAUCACCCCCCACAAGGCUCCACCUAAGACCUUGGAGGUUAUGAUUUCAACAUAUGAAUUUGGGAGGGACACAAAUGUUCAGACCGUAGCAGAAGUAAUUUCCUGAAUGUUGUUGGGGGAGGACACCAGCAGAAACAAACUGGAUUCACCUGUCCUUACUCCUCAGCUUUUGGAGUUAGUCUUCAGAAUAGAAGAACAAGGAGAAGGAGGAGGGGAAAGGAGAAUAGAAGGAACAGAAGGAGGAAGGGGGGAAGGGAGAAAGGUAAAAGGAAAAGAAAAAGAAUCUGUGUCCCUGGACCAAGGAAGAUUGGAAGCCGGGAGGGGGAACAUCCUUCUACCUCCUUAUCACUGUUGCCAACAAAAAGGAAGAUUAAACAGAAAUAGUAAAGUUCCUCCAUAAUGUAGCCCUCCCUCGGGGAGGGGAGAGAGCAAAAAACAAAACAAAACAAAAAAAACACUGAGAUAAGACUGACCUAGGAGUUAGACAAAUAAUUCCUCCGGAAUACAAAGACUUUACAAGGGUGAACAUAGCAGACGAGUCCUGUAGGGGCUUCGUCCUGAACACAGCUCUUUCUGCCCCAGCCCCAGGAGCACUGAGGUAAAAUAUGGGCUCAUGCAGUCACGGUCCUCUCACCCCACUCCAUGACUCAUUGAAAGUGAGCUGCUAGCUUCCUAUCCUGCCCAUCUUACUUCACAGCCGCUGUGCCCCAGCUUCUGGCCUUGUGCUAGGCACUAGGGACAUCCCUGACUAAUACUGUUCAGGAGAGACGCUCAGACUUGUGCACAGACAUUCACAGCACUGUGUCAGCAAGAAGUGCUGUCAUUGUGAUCCUGUUUUCUGAACCCCAAAUUGAAGCACGUAGCCCAGCUUGUACAAGUGCACUCAGGAGGACCACAAAACAGAAAGUUCAAAUCCAACCUAUGCUGACCACCCUGAGCCUGUGAAUUCUGGAGCUCUGACGGGCACAUAGAGAGCAACAAGGUUCAACUCAUACAACUGGACAUUCUCUUAUCGCCCUUGAUGAAGAGGGCAAUAUUUUAUUCCUAUUGUCAUCAUUGUUAUUAUUAUUCUGCUUUGGCAGAAGAGGCCCUUUGCCUUAGAGUCCUUCCUCCAUCACAUUCCUGGGGACAAAAAGGAAGAUCCUGUUUAUUUCCAAUCAAGGGAGUUGAUUCUGGGGUCGGCCAGAACCAGUGAAACAGGAACUGAUUCCUUAAAUCUUCCAACUGUGCAUUAGCAGCUGAGAGAAGAACAGGGCCAGUUAACCAAGUUUUGUUAGCAUUCCUAACUAUCCUUAGCUGUAUUUCUCUUCAGCCUGGCCUCAUUUCUUUCAGGCCCAGCCCCCGGGCAGGUUAAGAUGGUUGCUGUAAUUAAUCAUGCCGUGGGCCCUAAUUCAGACUCACCACAUUCAAAUUUCAAUUUAAAAAAAAAAAGGCGGGGUGUCUACUUAAGAAAUGCUCCGCUUAUGAAAUGCUCUUUGUUGCCGAAGCAGCCCCCUUUCAGCCUAAAGGAGAAAGUCUAGGAAGUGCAGGAAAGAAGAAAGGUUUCCAGGGCCCUCUUCAAAGUACUUGCACAUAUGUGAGGGGACUGAGGAUGAUCUGUGCUCCAAAGCCCCUCCAGUAUUUCCCAAUCAGAACAAACUGAAUUUUUAAAAAUAUAUAUUAAAUACCAUCAUAAUAUCUAGGAUGAGUGUUCAUUCCACAAAUGUUAAUUUAUUAUUCUCAGUGCCUCUAGUUUUCCUUCUCUUUUUUUUUAUUUUUAUUUUUUUGAGACAGGGUCCCAGGCUGGAGGGUAGUGGCGCAAUCAUAGCUCACCACAGCCUCGACCCCAGGGCUCAGGUGAUCCUCCUGCCUCACCCUCCCAAGUAGCUGGGACUACAGGCACUCACCACCACACCUGGCUAAUUUUUUUGUAUUUUUUGUAGAGAUGGGAUUUUGUCAUGUUGGCCAGGCUGGUCUUGAAUUCCUGGGGUCAAGCGACCUACCCACCUCAGCCUCCCAAAGUACUGGGGUUAUGGGCAUGAGUCACCGCACAUGGCUGUUUUCCUUCUCUUUAGGUCUUAAAAGGUUUUGUCAUUAUUUCUCUGUGAAAAUGCAAACAAUAGGACUGAGCAUGGUGGCUCAUACCUGUAAUCUAGCACUGAGACCAGCCUGGGCAACAUAGUAAGAUUCUCUUGCUAGAAAAAUAAAAAUAAAGUAAAAUGCAAACAUUAGUUGGCUGUGGAGAAUGGAGUGGGUUUGAGGAAGGUGGGAGUGGGAAAGGAGCUUCUGCUUUUCACUCCAUUUCUUCUGUGGUUUUGGUAACAUGCGUAUACUACUUUUAUAAUUAAAAACAAAAAAGGAGGAGAUUGGCACAGAAUAGAGAAUUUACCAUGAAAACUACUAUCUGCUAAUCUCUUAGUACUAUUUUAACAAAUCCUGAAAACAGCAAUGAGAAACAAAUCUUAUUUCCCAUUUUACCUGGAACUCGCCGCAACUCCAAGUCCUUGGCUGGGCAUGGGAGGCAAGUCAUCGCUGACUUGGAGGAGGGGGGCUCACGUUGGACCUUCAAGAGGGAAAGAGAACCCACCCAACUGUCUAUUUCCAGUGGGAGCACCUUUCCAGAAUCCCAGCUUGACUUGGAGAGGUUCUGCCACUUGGAAGUUGGGGAAGGGUUCCUCCCACCCUCAAUUAAAAUACAUAGAACUUGGUAGUCAGUUCAUUAAGGUGGUCCCCUAGUAUCUGUAUUUUUCUCAAGUACUCCCAAAAUAAUUUGGAUUUAUGAUCAUCCAAAACUCACUGCUUUAGAAAUCAUCUACUCCAAUUACUGAUGAGGGAAACUGAGGCUUAAAGGGCAGAAGGGACUUGCCCAAGGUCACCCAGCAAAUAAGCAGGUGACCCCAGGCCAGAAAAGAAAACAGGACUCCUCCUAUGUCCCACUAAAAACAGGAUAAGGAGGCUGAGAGGAGCACCUGAAAGAUGCCAUUUCACAUCUAAUCACUUCUUGUCACGUUGCAACCAUUUUCCUCAUAUGGAGCCUCACGCUGAUAGAUCAGAAAUAACAUUUUGAAAGUUAUGUCUGCAAGGAAAUGGCUAUUAAUGUUCUUCCUCUCCUUUUAGAGCAUCAAGGAAUACAUAUUAAUUUUCUCUCUACUUACAUUGCCUAUUUGCAAAUUGUAUUCACUACUCAGUGCUCCAAUUUGUCCCACCCCUGAAGAGAUUAUGAUGAAUAAAUGUGUUCCUGGAAAUAAAAAAUUUGUCCCUGAGAUUUAUUUUUAUAAUUAUUUACAGGGAUUAUUUUAGAAUAUAUGGGGGGGCAAUAAUGUGCACAUAAGGGUUCCGGUGUGACUUACCA
This 5590-nucleotide long non-coding RNA is filed under the name Homo sapiens (human). RNAcentral's name for it is "non-protein coding lnc-ZNF503-2:7". Lineage: Eukaryota; Metazoa; Chordata; Mammalia; Primates; Hominidae. The record is from RNAcentral.